Oncorhynchus masou masou (cherry salmon) is the source of this 189-nucleotide long non-coding RNA. RefSeq lists it as uncharacterized. NCBI's taxonomy places the organism in Eukaryota, Metazoa, Chordata, Actinopteri, Salmoniformes, Salmonidae. The transcript has 3 exons. The record is from RefSeq and is a predicted model, not a curated record.
ACCAUGUAGUACUCAUAAAACAAAUGUUUUCUACCAUGUAGUACUAAUGUAACAAGGGGUUUUCUACCAUGUAGUACUCAUGUAACAAGGGAUUUCUACCAUGUAGUACUCAUGUAACAAGGGGGUUUCUACCAUGCAGUACUCAUGUACCAAGGGUUUUCUUUUGUUAAAUGUCCCUGUAAUAAGUUA